RNAcentral lists this ribosomal RNA (831 nucleotides) under uncultured bacterium. Its description in RNAcentral is "bacterial SSU rRNA". It matches the Rfam family "Bacterial small subunit ribosomal RNA", at positions 72 to 916 of the family's 1533-position model. The record is from RNAcentral.
AGUUUUCGGAUGGAAGCUAGAUUGACUGAGUGGCGGACGGGUGAGUAACGCGUGGGUAACCUGCCUCACACUGGGGGACAACAGUUAGAAAUGACUGCUAAUACCGCAUAAGCGCACAGCACCACAUGGUACAGUGUGAAAAACUCCGGCGGUAUGAGAUGGACCCGCGUCUGAUUAGCUGGUUGGUGGGGUAACGGCCCACCAAGGCGACGAUCAGUAGCCGACCUGAGAGGGUGAUCGGCCACAUUGGGACUGAGACACGGCCCAAACUCCUACGGGAGGCAGCAGUGGGGAAUAUUGCACAAUGGGGGAACCCUGAUGCAGCAACGCCGCGUGAGUGAAGAAGUAUUUCGGUAUGUAAAGCUCUGUCAGCAGGGAAGAAAAUGACGGUACCUGACUAAGAAGCCCCGGCUAACUACGUGCCAGCAGCCGCGGUAAUACGUAGGGGGCAAGCGUUAUCCGGAUUUACUGGGUGUAAAGGGAGCGUAGACGGCAGCGCAAGUCUGAAGUGAAAGCCCGGGGCUCAACCCCGGAAUGGCUUUGGAAACUGCGCGGCUAGAGUACCGGAGGGGUAAGCGGAAUUCCUAGUGUAGCGGUGAAAUGCGUAGAUAUUAGGAGGAACACCAGUGGCGAAGGCGGCUUACUGGACGGUAACUGACGUUGAGGCUCGAAAGCGUGGGGAGCAAACAGGAUUAGAUACCCUGGUAGUCCACGCGGUAAACGAUGAAUGCUAGGUGUUGGUGAGCAAAGCUCAUCGGUGCCGCCGCAAACGCAUUAAGCAUUCCACCUGGGGAGUACGUUCGCAAGAAUGAAACUCAAAUGAAUUGACGG